UACGUAGGGAGCAAGCGUUGUUCGGAUUUACUGGGCGUAAAGGGCGCGUAGGCGGCAAAUUAAGUCAGCUGUGAAAUCUCCGAGCUUAACUCGGAACUGUCAGCUGAUACUGAUCUGCUAGAGUGCGGAAGGGGCAAUCGGAAUUCUUGGUGUAGCGGUGAAAUGCGUAGAGAUCCGGAGGAACACCAGUGGCGAAGGCGGCUCGCUGGGCUCUACCUGACGCUGAGGCGCGAAAGCGCGGGGAGCGAACAGG
Molecule: ribosomal RNA, 253 nt
Filed under: uncultured bacterium
Lineage: Bacteria
Description: partial 16S ribosomal RNA
Rfam family: Bacterial small subunit ribosomal RNA
Source: RNAcentral